UUUUGUGAACAGCACUUGGACAUGGGUUAGCCGAUCCUGAGGAACAGGUUAAAUUUCAUCCGAUUGGAGCUUUGGCUCUGUUUCUCGAAGGGGAAGCUGGUUAGCAUUCCAGCCCCGAGACGUGAAUAAUAUGUGGCAAGACAAGUGAAUUCGGACACGCCAUAGGAGACCCCAGGAAAUGUUGUCUUUUCUUUUUAACAGUUCGACUUACCCUAAAAUCAGAUCAUCUGAAGAUAGGGUUUCCGUACUGGAAUAGCAUCUUGUCUAGUACGCUAUUCUAAAAGGAUAUUUGAGUUCUUUUUUGAAGGAGUAUACAUAACACUAUUUUAUCGCA
Molecule: non-coding RNA, 334 nt
Filed under: Perkinsus marinus ATCC 50983
Lineage: Eukaryota; Perkinsozoa; Perkinsida; Perkinsidae
Description: Eukaryotic large subunit ribosomal RNA
Rfam family: Eukaryotic large subunit ribosomal RNA
Source: Rfam by way of RNAcentral